Molecule: long non-coding RNA, 2253 nt
Filed under: Heterocephalus glaber (naked mole-rat)
Lineage: Eukaryota; Metazoa; Chordata; Mammalia; Rodentia; Bathyergidae
Description: lncRNA (ENSHGLG00100043746.1)
Source: RNAcentral
GUUUCCUUUCCGUCCCCUGCGUCUCUAUCUCGCUCUUUGUCCCUCUCUUUCCUCCUGGAGCGGCCUCACAAAAGGCGCCUGGCGAGACUUAACUCGGUUUGUUUUGCGCCAGGCCUGGGAGAGAGCGGGGCGAAGGCCAGGGGUGUGGACCCGAGGGGCUCUGGGACUGACGGGAGCUUCAGCGCCCAAAUUAGCCAGCCAAUAGUCAAAUCCACCGCUUUUCAAUUUUUAAUGAUUCAAACGCGAUUUUCCUCCCCCAGCAUGAGGAAGAGAAGCAUGACACGUUGGUAUCAUAAUGGGCUUGCUGCGUAAAGAUAGCAGCAUAAUACAUCUUGCCGGUGAUUCCAUGAAGGACUCCAGACUUCCGACUAUGGAACGCAAUUUUCUAUUUUAUAUCUUUAGGAGAAAAGGCUUAAAGAAUGAAAGAAGGCAACAGUUGAGUGCCUUCAGUGCAUUACCAAAAGAGGCACCCCUUCUCUUUACUGAGAAGUAAGGAGCACAGAAAGUAGAAAAGUUAAGGAAGGCAAACACAAAUUAUUCAGAGGAGAAAACAAGGAAAUCGUGAAAGAGGAACAGUGUGAACAAGUUUGCUCAGAUGACACAGAUAAGCCAAAAGCAAAGGCCAAAGAAAAAACUUCACAAAUAAUAAGAAGGUGUGAAUGGGCUUCAGAGUGAGAGGCAACAGUAACUUUGCUGCUUGAGGACCCUCUCACCUCUGGAAAGUGUUGAGCUCUGAACGGUGUCAUGUGUCUCAGUAGCUUAGUCCUCCCUCAAAUAUUCAGAGUUUUUAAGGUGGUGGAGAUGGAAUCCAGGGCCUCACACAUGCUGGCCUGAAACAAAGGAUUCCCCUGCCUUACCCUGCAGAGUCCAGUGGGAUUCCUGGCCUGCACCACUGUGCCUGGCUCACAUAUUCAAACUGCUGAUUGCAGGUAUCAUGCUGAUUCUUGAAACCAUUGUAAACCCUGCCCUAACCGUGCCUAAAUGUAUGGACCUGACUUGGAGUUUAGAAAUACCACAAACAGCUAGCUCCAAGUCAUUAUUGCAUUCAUAAAGACCAGCACUAGGAUUCUUACCUCAGUGCACUGGCUCUUAACCACCACGCCCGCCGUGUGUCUGCCUCUUCACUGGUGUUUAGGAGCUCAGAGGUGCAGAUCGAGUCACUCAGCUUUCCUAAGCCUCAGCUUCCAAUUUUUAUCAGUGAGCAUAGUGCCGUGGGAAUUAAAGGACAUAGCUAGCUUCUUAGGUCAUCUGUAAUCAUGCCUAGGUCAGGGAUGCUACGGGACACCAGGUACUGUAAAACAUACCGCCUUGCAAGGCAAAAGGCUUCUCUGAUCUGUAGAUGAGUUGAAACCCACUUAGAGCAGGUCAUUGUAGAUAAGGCUGAAUAAUACUUGACCUGUGAGGACAGCUGAUUGGUAAGUAGCAUACAUUAGUGGGUCUUCUGAUGCCCAUAUGUUCUAAGGUGGUAACACCAGUUUCCCUAUUUUACAAUUUGUCUACUUGUGUAUGCUUUGAAAAGCCCAUGAUACAUUAAUACACCAGUGAUCAGCAAAAGACAAGCACCAGGCCCUUUGCUUCCAAGGAACCCGGAGCCUGGACUGGAACCCAGAGACCUGGGCAGAGUUUGAAUUGACAGCCCGGACUCCUGAUGAGCAGUAAUCCCCCUGCUUCUGUUUCCCCGUGGCCUCCAUGCCGUGCUUUGGAAGGAGGAGAAGUCAAGCCAGAGAGACGCGACAGUGGAGAGCAAACCCUGGUGCAUUCAUGUCUCUGCCUGGCCCCUCUUCCUGUCAUUUACUUGUCUCUCAAGGCGUUUUUGUCUGUCUCCCUGCUAGAAUCUAAGUUCCAGGAGGCCAGGGAUGUUUGAUUGUCCUGUGCCUCGCUGUGUUCCCAAACCCCGGGCAGUGACUGGCACACACCUAUCGCUCAACAAAUGCUCAAAGGGGAAAAAAUGUGGGGAUAAUUGAUUUAGAAAAACGUGGGUAAUAAAGAAAAUGUUGUUGGAGAACAAGCCAUUUCAAGUCUUGAUUUACACAGGUAAAUUUAACUGGAAAAAGUUACUAAAAUAUUUCAUAGGGUUUUUCCCCAAAUUAUUAUUUUUUAUUGAUAUAUAUAGUCCAUCUACCAUUAAAAUUAACCCAUUUAAAGCAUAUGUUCCUAUGGUUUUUGGUAUUAUAGAAAGAUUUUCACUAUCUUUUUCAAAGUAUCAACUAUUACAUAUAUAAACUCAGUAUCUGAUGAGACAUGAGAACUGGC